AGUGAACGCUGGCGGUAGGCCUAACACAUGCAAGUCGAACGGCAGCACAGUAAGAGCUUGCUCUUACGGGUGGCGAGUGGCGGACGGGUGAGGAAUACAUCGGAAUCUACUUUUUCGUGGGGGAUAACGUAGGGAAACUUACGCUAAUACCGCAUACGACCUACGGGUGAAAGCAGGGGAUCUUCGGACCUUGCGCGAUUGAAUGAGCCGAUGUCGGAUUAGCUAGUUGGCGGGGUAAAGGCCCACCAAGGCGACGAUCCGUAGCUGAUCUGAGAGGAUGAUCAGCCACACUGGAACUGAGACACGGUCCAGACUCCUACGGGAGGCAGCAGUGGGGAAUAUUGGACAAUGGGCGCAAGCCUGACCCAGCCAUACCGCGUGGGUGAAGAAGGCCUUCGGGUUGUAAAGCCCUUUUGUUGGGAAAGAAAAGCAGCAGGUUAAUACCCCGCUGUUCUGACGGUACCCAAAGAAUAAGCACCGGCUAACUUCGUG
RNAcentral lists this ribosomal RNA (492 nucleotides) under uncultured bacterium. RNAcentral's name for it is "partial 16S ribosomal RNA". It matches the Rfam family "Bacterial small subunit ribosomal RNA", at positions 29 to 507 of the family's 1533-position model. The record is from RNAcentral.